AUGCGGGCGCGAGGUGCCGCCGCCCCGGAGCCGAGCCGAGAGCGGAGCGCGGACAGCGGAGCGCGCAGACGGACGCGGGGCCGCCGAGCCUCCGGGAAGGGAGGGGACGCUCCGGCCUGCGCCCCUCCGCGAGCCGGGUCCCGCCCUCCCCGCCGCUGCCCCCGCGCCCCGGGUCGCGCGGUCCCUCGGGGUCCGCCGCGCACUCCGGGGGCGGGUCCCGGCUCGCGCCCCGCGCCCUCGCCGCGCCCUCCGCCGCCCCCGCCGCCCCGCCCCGCCCGCUCCGCCCGCGGGACCCGGUCCCUCCUCGCCCUCGCCCGGCCCGGCCCGGCCCGGCCCGGCCCGGGGCGCCCGCUCACCGUCGCUCGGCGCGGGCAGCAGCGGCGGCAGCAGCAGCAGCAGCGGCAGCAGGAGCCGGGGCCGGCGCGGCGCGGCGCGGGGAGCGGCCAUGGGGCUCUCGGUCCGCCCGGCUGGGCUCGGCGAGCGCGGCUCCGGGGCCUCGGGAGGCUCACAGCGUCCCGCGGGGGCGGCGGCGGGGCCGGGGCCGGGGCUCGGGCCGGGGCCGAGCCCGGGCGGCGGCGGGCUGGGGCCACAUGCCGGCCUAGGAGCGCCGGGGGCGCGGGGGGAGCGCCGCUCGCGCCAUCUUGCACCCUCGCGGGCGAUCUGUCAGCCUCGCCGGGGAGCGCGCUCCGCACUCGCACUCGCUCUCGCUCUCGCUCUCGCUCUCGCCCUCGCCCCGCCCGCGCCGCCCCGCCCUCCGCCCGCGCCCGCGCCCCCUCCCGCCCCGCCCGGUCCCCUCCCCCAGCCCCUCUCCCCGGAGGCCCGGUCUGGGGAACAAAAGAGCCGGCGAGCGCUUUAAGCGGCCGGACAUUCCCGGCUGCGCGGCGGACGCGCCCCCUGCGCUUUGAACUGCGGCUGGAGCGGCCGGCGCCGUCCCGGGCUGCUGCCCGGCACCCCCGGCACCCCGGCACCCCCGGCACCCCCGGCACCCCGGCACCCCCGGCACCCCCGGCACCCCGGCACCCCGGCACCCCCGGCACCCCGGCACCCCCCUCCCCGCGGCCGGCCGGGGACGCGGGGGCCUGCGGAAGGGGACCCCCGCGGACGGCAGAGCGACUCGCGAAGCCGUGGGACUUGCCCUGCCCGCCUCUCCCCGCUGCACCCUCCUCCGCCGCGUCCAAGUGUGCAUCUUCGAGAUCAUUCCCCAAAAGCUCCACAAACUUGUCAAAGGUUCGGGUUUCCCCGGUCUCUGAUCCUGCCACCCAAAGGCUAGGACGUUUAGCUGCAAGGCUGGCCUCUCCGGACUGCAGAGUUCUGGCGCUGGGAUGGACCGGAGGUAGAAGGGCAGCUUCCCCCCACCCACCCCACCCCGGGUUCGGGGGGCCUUGA
This 1386-nucleotide long non-coding RNA is filed under the name Canis lupus familiaris (dog). RNAcentral's name for it is "lncRNA (ENSCAFG00030016081.1)". The record is from RNAcentral. Lineage: Eukaryota; Metazoa; Chordata; Mammalia; Carnivora; Canidae.